Molecule: ribosomal RNA, 503 nt
Filed under: uncultured fungus
Lineage: Eukaryota; Fungi
Description: SSU rRNA
Rfam family: Eukaryotic small subunit ribosomal RNA
Source: RNAcentral
GAUUCAUGAUAACUUUACGGAUCGCAUAGCCUUGCGCUGGCGACGGUUCAUUCAAAUUUCUGCCCUAUCAACUUUCGAUGGUAAGGUAUUGGCUUACCAUGGUUUCAACGGGUAACGGGGAAUUAGGGUUCGAUUCCGGAGAGGGAGCCUGAGAAACGGCUACCACAUCCAAGGAAGGCAGCAGGCGCGCAAAUUACCCAAUCCCGACACGGGGAGGUAGUGACAAUAAAUACUGAUACAGGGCUCUUUUGGGUCUUGUAAUUGGAAUGAGUACAAUUUAAACCUCUUAACGAGGAACAAUUGGAGGGCAAGUCUGGUGCCAGCAGCCGCGGUAAUUCCAGCUCCAAUAGCGUAUAUUAAAGUUGUUGCAGUUAAAAAGCUCGUAGUUGAAACUUGGGCCUGGCUGGCGGGUCCGCCUCACCGCGUGCACUCGUCCGGCCGGGCCUUCCUUCUGAAGAACCUCAUGCCCUUCACUGGGCGUGUUGGGGAACCAGGACUUUUAC